This 441-nucleotide ribosomal RNA is filed under the name uncultured bacterium. RNAcentral's name for it is "partial 16S ribosomal RNA". It matches the Rfam family "Bacterial small subunit ribosomal RNA", at positions 338 to 795 of the family's 1533-position model. The record is from RNAcentral.
CCUACGGGAGGCAGCAGUGGGGAAUAUUGCACAAUGGGGGGAACCCUGAUGCAGCGACGCCGCGUGGGUGAAGGAGUAUUUCGGUAUGUAAAGCCCUAUCAGCAGGGAAGAACAAUGACGGUACCUGACUAAGAAGCACCGGCUAAAUCCGUGCCAGCAGCCGCGGUAAUACGUAGGGUGCAAGCGUUAUCCGGAUUUACUGGGGGUAAGGGGAGCGCAGGCGGCGUGUUAAGCAUGGUGUGAAAGCCCGGGGCACAACCGGGGAACUGCAUUGGGAACUGGCGGGCUGGAGUGCUGGAGGGGUAGGCGGAAUUCCUGGUGUAGCGGUGAAAUGCGUAGAGAUUAGGAGGAAUACCAGUGGCGAAGGCGGCCUACUGGACGGUGACUGACGCUGAGGCUCGAAAGCGUGGGGAGCAAACAGGAUUAGAUACCCUAGUAGUC